GACGAACGCUGGCGGCGUGCCCAACACAUGCAAGUGGAGCGACGAACCAGGCUUCGGCCUGGGGCAAAGCCGCGAACGGGUGAGUAACACGUGGGUAACCUGCCCCGAUGACUGGGACAACCCGAGGAAACUCGGGCUAAUACCGGAUGUGCUCUGCCGACCCAGGUCGGCUCGAGUAAAGGAGCUUCGGCCUCGCAUUGGGGAGGGGCCCGCGGCCCAUUAGCUAGUUGGUGAGGUAACGGCUCACCAAGGCCGCGAUGGGUAGCUGGUCUGAGGGGACGAUCAGCCACACUGGGACUGAGACACGGCCCAGACUCCUACGGGAGGCAGCAGUGGGGAAUCUUGCGCAAUGCGCGAAAGCGUGACGCAGCAACGCCGCGUGGGGGAAGAA
Molecule: ribosomal RNA, 391 nt
Filed under: uncultured bacterium
Lineage: Bacteria
Description: bacterial SSU rRNA
Rfam family: Bacterial small subunit ribosomal RNA
Source: RNAcentral